RNAcentral lists this ribosomal RNA (240 nucleotides) under uncultured bacterium. RNAcentral's name for it is "partial 16S ribosomal RNA". It matches the Rfam family "Bacterial small subunit ribosomal RNA", at positions 91 to 334 of the family's 1533-position model. The record is from RNAcentral.
ACGAGUGGCGGACGGGUGAGUAAUGUAUAGGAACUUGCCUAGUAGUGGGGGACAACGUGUGGAAACGCACGCUAAUACCGCAUACGCUCUACGGAGGAAAGCGGGGGAUCUUCGGACCUCGUGCUACUAGAUGGGCCUAUAUUGGAUUAGCUAGUUGGUAGGGUAAAGGCCUACCAAGGCUACGAUGGUUAGCGGGUCUGAGAGGAUGAUCCGCCACACUGGAACUGGAACACGGACCAG